UCAUCAGAUGUGAUAGCGGGUCAGUGGAGAAGUGCGGUGCGGAUGAGAGAUGCUUUGAUUCGCAUUCAUGUCAACAGUCUGAACAGCUAACCAAACCAAACCGAAGUCUCGCGCUUUCACAUGAACGGAAUAAAAUGCAGCCGGAUGAAUCGCAGUAUUUGCAACGGAACUGUAGGACUGGUGAUAUAGAUGUGCAGCCAACAGAAAAGGCUCUAGGGGUGCACUAUGAUGUGGAAGCAUCCAUUUUAGGAGAGACAUGCAAUGCCAGGCAUGAGGAGAAAAAGAGUGCCAGAAAAUCAUCCGGCUGAGGAGUCUGAAUGCCAGCACUGAUAUUUCCGCCCUGGCCAGGAAGGUGGUGGAAGAGUGUAAAGUAAUUCAUCCAUCAAAGCUGGCGGAGGUGGAACAUCUGCUGCUGUAUUUACAGAACCGAAAGAAGCCCAGCA
Molecule: long non-coding RNA, 443 nt
Organism: Sinocyclocheilus grahami
Lineage: Eukaryota; Metazoa; Chordata; Actinopteri; Cypriniformes; Cyprinidae
Exons: 3
Source: RefSeq, a predicted model, not a curated record